Molecule: ribosomal RNA, 744 nt
Filed under: uncultured Enterococcus sp.
Lineage: Bacteria; Bacillati; Bacillota; Bacilli; Lactobacillales; Enterococcaceae
Description: bacterial SSU rRNA
Rfam family: Bacterial small subunit ribosomal RNA
Source: RNAcentral
AGCAAACAGGAUUAGAUACCUGGUAGUCCACGCCGUAAACGAUGAGUGCUAAGUGUUGAGGGUUUCCGCCUUCAGUGCUGCAGCUAACGCAUUAAGCACUCCGCUGGGGAGUACGACCGCAAGGUUGAAACUCAAAGGAAUUGACGGGGGCCCGCACAAGCGGUGGAGCAUGUGGUUUAAUUCGAAGCAACGCGAAGAACCUUACCAGGUCUUGACAUCCUUUGACCACUCUAGAGAUAGAGCUUUCCCUUCGGGGACAAAGUGACAGGUGGUGCAUGGUUGUCGUCAGCUCGUGUCGUGAGAUGUUGGGUUAAGUCCCGCAACGAGCGCAACCCUUAUUGUUAGUUGCCAUCAUUCAGUUGGGCACUCUAGCGAGACUGCCGGUGACAAACCGGAGGAAGGUGGGGAUGACGUCAAAUCAUCAUGCCCCUUAUGACCUGGGCUACACACGUGCUACAAUGGGAAGUACAACGAGUCGCUAGGCCGCGAGGUCAUGCAAAUCUCUUAAAGCUUCUCUCAGUUCGGAUUGCAGGCUGCAACUCGCCUGCAUGAAGCCGGAAUCGCUAGUAAUCGCGGAUCAGCACGCCGCGGUGAAUACGUUCCCGGGCCUUGUACACACCGCCCGUCACACCACGAAAGUUUGUAACACCCGAAGUCGGUGAGGUAACCUUUUGGAGCCAGCCGCCUAAGGUGGGAUAGAUGAUUGGGGUGAAGUCGUAACAAGGUAACCAAGGGCGAAUUCUG